RNAcentral lists this ribosomal RNA (440 nucleotides) under uncultured bacterium. RNAcentral describes it as "partial 16S ribosomal RNA". It matches the Rfam family "Bacterial small subunit ribosomal RNA", at positions 338 to 795 of the family's 1533-position model. The record is from RNAcentral.
CCUACGGGGCGCUGCAGUGGGGGAUAUUGCACAAUGGGGGAAACCCUGAUGCAGCGACGCCGCGUGGGUGAAGAAGCGCCUCGGCGCGUAAAGCCCUGUCAGCAGGGAAGAAAAUGACGGUACCUGAAGAAGAAGCCCCGGCUAACUACGUGCCAGCAGCCGCGGUAAUACGUAGGGGGCAAGCGUUAGCCGGAUUUACUGGGUGUAAAGGGGGCGCAGACGGCGAUGCAAGCCAGGAGUGAAAGACCGGGGCCCAACCCCGGGACUGCUCAUGGAACUGCGUGGCUAGAGUGCAGGAGGGGCAGGCGGAAUUCCUGGUGUAGCGGUGAAAUGCGUAGAUAUCAGGAGGAACACCGGUGGCGAAGGCGGCCUGCUGGACUGCAACUGACGUUGAGGCCCGAAAGCGUGGGGAGCAAACAGGAUUAGAUACCCUAGUAGUC